GAUGAAAGAUGGCGGCGUGCCUAAUACAUGCAAGUCGAGCGAACAGACGAGGAGCUUGCUCCUCUGACGUUAGCGGCGGACGGGUGAGUAACACGUGGAUAACCUACCUAUAAGACUGGGAUAACUUCGGGAAACCGGAGCUAAUACCGGAUAAUAUAUUGAACCGCAUGGUUCAAUAGUGAAAGACGGUUUUGCUGUCACUUAUAGAUGGAUCCGCGCCGCAUUAGCUAGUUGGUAAGGUAACGGCUUACCAAGGCAACGAUGCGUAGCCGACCUGAGAGGGUGAUCGGCCACACUGGAACUGAGACACGGUCCAGACUCCUACGGGAGGCAGCAGUAGGGAAUCUUCCGCAAUGGGCGAAAGCUUGACGGAGCAACGCCGCGUGAGUGAUGAAGGUCUUCGGAUCGUAAAACUCUGUUAUUAGGGAAGAACAAAUGUGUAAGUAACUAUGCACGUCUUGACGGUACCUAAUCAGAAAGCCACGGCUAACUACGUG
Molecule: ribosomal RNA, 497 nt
Filed under: uncultured bacterium
Lineage: Bacteria
Description: partial 16S ribosomal RNA
Rfam family: Bacterial small subunit ribosomal RNA
Source: RNAcentral